CGGCGGACGGGUGAGUAACGCGUGGGUAACCGGCCUCAUACAGGGGGAUAACAGUUAGAAAUGGCUGCUAAUACCGCAUAAGACCACAGUACUGCAUGGUACAGUGGUAAAAACUCCGGUGGUAUGAGAUGGACCCGCGUCUGAUUAGGUAGUUGGUGAGGUAACGGCCCACCAAGCCGACGAUCAGUAGCCGACCUGAGAGGGUGACCGGCCACAUUGGGACUGAGACACGGCCCAG
RNAcentral lists this ribosomal RNA (238 nucleotides) under uncultured bacterium. Its description in RNAcentral is "partial 16S ribosomal RNA". It matches the Rfam family "Bacterial small subunit ribosomal RNA", at positions 96 to 334 of the family's 1533-position model. The record is from RNAcentral.